GUGCACAAAUUUACAAUUGCAAAAGGCAAGAACAAGCAUGUACAAAUAGAUAAAAAAAUUGUCAAUAAUAUAAACAACCAUGUACAAAUUGGCGAGCACAAUAGCAAAAGGAAAAAAAAACGCAGCUGCCACCUGGUCACCGCCACGCUCCUAUCUGGUGCCCCUCUUCCCAGCCUUACCCAUGCGGCCACCGGUGCCACCUGCGUCGGCUGCCUCCCCAUCUGCCGCCCGAGCGCUAGACGCCGCAGCUCCUCUUCCUAGGCGUAAGCCCUGCAUCCGCCCGCCCCUUUGCUAGCCCCGCUGCCGCGCGUAUUCCCGAACAUGAGCUCCAGAACAACCACGCCCUGGCUGCCGGCUGAGCGAUGGGCACUUGCGCGCAGAUGAGAGCGAGAGGCGUGAGCCGCUGUCGGAGCGGCUGAAGGAGAGGAAUGAAAGGCAGACGGCGCGGUUGAAGGAGACGAGCGGCCGUGCCGCGGAUGAAGGAGACGAGCGGCCGACGACGCGGAUUCAGGGAGGAGUGGCCGGCGGCGUGGAUCCAGGGAGGAGCUGUUGGCGGCGCGGAUCCAGGGAAGGAGCCAGGUUCAUGCGAGGGAAGGAGAAGCCAGAGGCUUCCUGCGAGAGAGAUGGGUGAGCGGUUCCGCAUGGUCCGCUCGAUUUGGAUGAACCGCGGGGAACGGC
RNAcentral lists this ribosomal RNA (678 nucleotides) under Triticum aestivum (bread wheat). RNAcentral's name for it is "partial small subunit ribosomal RNA". Lineage: Eukaryota; Viridiplantae; Streptophyta; Magnoliopsida; Poales; Poaceae. The record is from RNAcentral.